This 230-nucleotide long non-coding RNA is filed under the name Theobroma cacao (cacao). RNAcentral's name for it is "long non-coding RNA (TCAC_LNC000900)". Lineage: Eukaryota; Viridiplantae; Streptophyta; Magnoliopsida; Malvales; Malvaceae. The record is from RNAcentral.
AGAAUCAUAGGCCUUGUUGAUUUUUAUGAAAUGAAAUUGAUUUAUAUGAAAUGAAAUGAGAUUGGAUGUUAUGAAUCAUAUUAUGAUGAGAUAUUUUAAAUUAUCUCCAUUUACUCGACUUUAGAUGUUUUAGAUGAAAUUUGCUUACUCACUGGGUUUAUAAAAACUCACCCCUUCUUUUUACCCAUUUUAGGCUCAGGGCAGUCUGUAGAUCGCUGAUUAUGUCGAAG